GGAUGUGAGGGAGAUCUGGAUGUAACAUCUGUCACCCCAUUGAUCACCAGGGUUGAUUCCGAUGAUCUGGCUGGCUAGGCCUGUGUCAUCAUCCUCCCUCACCACUCCAUGUGAGUGACUCAGGAAGCUGUGUGCUCAAUUGACCUUCCAGGAAUAGAGGAGCACCAGUCUUUGGGGUCUUUGCUCAAGGGUAUAGGAGUAGCUGCGCUCCCCUGAUAAAAUCCUUCAAACAAGCUCAAGUUUUGACAAUUUUUAAUAAUCUCAUUUGCUAUUAAAUAUCACCUUUUUAGAAGUAUCUAUUUAA
RNAcentral lists this small nuclear RNA (304 nucleotides) under Meriones unguiculatus (Mongolian gerbil). RNAcentral's name for it is "7SK RNA (ENSMUGG00000009637.1)". It matches the Rfam family "7SK RNA". Rfam says of the family: 7SK was discovered as an abundant small nuclear RNA in the mid-70s but a possible function has only recently been suggested. Two independent studies have found that 7SK RNA binds the CDK9/cyclin T complex (known as elongation factor P-TEFb). P-TEFb activates transcription by phosphorylating the C-terminal domain of RNA polymerase II. Lineage: Eukaryota; Metazoa; Chordata; Mammalia; Rodentia; Muridae. The record is from RNAcentral.